RNAcentral lists this ribosomal RNA (253 nucleotides) under uncultured bacterium. RNAcentral's name for it is "partial 16S ribosomal RNA". It matches the Rfam family "Bacterial small subunit ribosomal RNA", at positions 524 to 776 of the family's 1533-position model. The record is from RNAcentral.
UACAGAGGGUGCGAGCGUUAAUCGGAAUUACUGGGCGUAAAGGGUGCGUAGGCGGUCGAAUAAGUUAGGUGUGAAAGUCCUGGGCUUAACCUGGGGAUUGCGCCUAAUACUGUAUGACUUGAGUACUGUAGAGGAAGGUGGAAUUUCCGGUGUAGCGGUGAAAUGCGUAGAUAUCGGAAGGAACACCAGUGGCGAAGGCGACCUUCUGGACAGAUACUGACGCUGAGGCACGAAAGCAUGGGGAGCAAACAGG